GUACCAAAUCAAAGCUUUUAGCGAGAUAGUUGCGUUCAACAAUAAUGGCUUCAAUUUCUUCUUCUCCGAGGGCUGCUGCGGCCAUCCUUGUUGUCUUAGCCAUUGUUCUCAUUCCAACGCUGAUGUUGCCAUCUGAGGCAGCGAGACCAACCCGAGAACUUCUGGCGCGACCCCCAAUCUGCCCUGCCUGCGUUUGUUGCGCACCACCGCCCUCCCCGAACAAAUGCUGCCCCUGCGUCUGUUCCACACCUGGGGGACCCCUUGUACCUGUUGCCGGAACUACUUCGCCAUGACUUCUUGAAGGCGCAAGUUUGUUUAAUUUGCUACGGAAUCCUGUAGCUGUGUAUGCACUUCUAUCUUAUCUUAUAAAUAAGUGUAUGAAUAAGAACUUCUCAGAUUAUGGAUAUCAUGUGGAAGUGACUUACGUACUUCACUAAUGAAUCAAGGGAUUUUGGUUAUCAGUUUGCAUA
This is a long non-coding RNA of Coffea arabica (coffee), 470 nucleotides long. RefSeq lists it as uncharacterized. Lineage: Eukaryota; Viridiplantae; Streptophyta; Magnoliopsida; Gentianales; Rubiaceae. The record is from RefSeq and is a predicted model, not a curated record.